Molecule: small RNA, 1300 nt
Filed under: Pan troglodytes (chimpanzee)
Lineage: Eukaryota; Metazoa; Chordata; Mammalia; Primates; Hominidae
Description: retained intron
Source: RNAcentral
GAGAAGGUCAAAAGCACAUACAGAAUUUGGCUUAAGAACAGAAAGUUAUUUCAGUUGUCCUUUGUUUUGUUCAUUUUCACUAGGACAAGCAGAGCGCCAAAAUGCCUUUGCUUUAUUUACAUUUAGAAUCAAAUCUAUCUGACUUUAGAGAAUCAGGUUGGGUAAUGGUCCUUUAUACACGUGUUGCUAUCUUAAAACUUUUUGCCCUUUUUUGAAAAAACAUGUUUUCUAGUUCCCACACUCACUGGGAAAUGGCCAACCAUCUCUGUAACUAUAUAAUGAAUUGUUUAUUCACAAAAUAUAAGGAACUGGCCUAUUCAUAAUAACAUUGUGUGUUGAUGCCAAGUAAAUGUAUGACCAGAAAUGUAAGAGUUGAGUUCUAUCCAGUAAAGAAUACCCAUAGAGUAGUAGCCUUGCCACCUUUUGAAGAACCAUAGAUCCAUGUUUAAAGCCCUAUCUCUCUGCAGCAUUUUUACUGUGGAUCUGUGUGUGUUUAUAUGUAGCCCCGCAGGCACUUUUUGCUGUGAUGACUUUUAAGUGGUUUCUAUUAAUAAAUGUAGUCCUAAGUACAAUAAUUGCUGUUCUGAAUGUGGGUGUGUCUUCUGCUAAAACACAAAAUGCCAACAAUCAAUUUCUCUACCCCAGAGCAGCCUCCGGGUGACACUCGGAGAAAAACCAAUGAUGCGAGCUCAGAGUCAAUAGCAUCCUUCUCUAAACAGGAGGUCAUGAGUAGCUUUCUGCCAGAGGGAGGGUGUUACGAGCUGCUCACUGUGAUAGGCAAAGGAUUUGAGGACCUGAUGACUGUGAAUCUAGCAAGGUACAAACCAACAGGAGAGUACGUGACUGUACGGAGGAUUAACCUAGAAGCUUGUUCCAAUGAGAUGGUAACAUUCUUGCAGGGCGAGCUGCAUGUCUCCAAACUCUUCAACCAUCCCAAUAUCAUGCCAUAUCGAGCCACUUUUAUUGCAGACAAUGAGCUGUGGGUUGUCACAUCAUUCAUGGCAUACGGUUCUGCAAAAGAUCUCAUCUGUACACACUUCAUGGAUGGCAUGAAUGAGCUGGCGAUUGCUUACAUCCUGCAGGGGGUGCUGAAGGCCCUCGACUACAUCCACCACAUGGGAUAUGUACACAGGAGUGUCAAAGCCAGCCACAUCCUGAUCUCUGUGGAUGGGAAGGUCUACCUGUCUGGUUUGCGCAGCAACCUCAGCAUGAUAAGCCACGGGCAGCGGCAGCGAGUGGUCCACGAUUUUCCCAAGUACAGUGUCAAGGUUCUGCCGUGGCUCAGCCCCGAGGUCCUCCA